UUUCUUAGCUACUUGGAUUAUAAAUAACCAUAUGAUUGAAUUAUUGCUUGUAAGAUAGCUUAGUUUAGCAAUCAAUUGGCAUAUGCACUCUUACAGUUGUAUUUUUCUUGUAGCUAUGCCCAUUGUACCCACACAAUCAAGAGGUAUCACUGAAUGAAAUGAGAAGCCCUUCUGAAUUACUAGAAUUUGGGAAAUUCUCUAAUUGCAUGGAUUAUAGUACUGGAGUUGGGGCUUCUCCUCUUCAUGUUGCAAAUCCCGCAUUUGACUAUGUGCCUCCAGAGCUUGUUAGCCUUCUCAUCACUGAUGUAGGAGGGCAUAACCCGUCAUAUAUGUAUCGGCUAAUUGCUGAUUAUUAUUCCGCUGAUGAUUAUUUCUUGCAAGAGAAGCAUGAUUCUUGAAGGCACUUCAAGGAGGAGGAAAAUUAAAAAUUGGAAAAGCGGCUGUGGAGGUCAAACGUUGUGAAGAAACUGGUAUGUCUCGCCGAGAAUCAUACCGAAAAUCAAUCGUUUACGUUUCAAUUUCCGACCAGAUAAAAUAUCUUGAAGAAUACCUAUAGUACUCAUGUUUAAGUUAGUAGACAUGAGGGUA
Molecule: long non-coding RNA, 588 nt
Organism: Olea europaea var. sylvestris
Lineage: Eukaryota; Viridiplantae; Streptophyta; Magnoliopsida; Lamiales; Oleaceae
Exons: 3
Source: RefSeq, a predicted model, not a curated record